AUGGACCAAUCCAUCCCUUUUUCCCGUGCAUAUGCAUCAGACUCGGAUGACGAUGGUCCCGAUGAAGAAGUUGAUGAGGAGGGGUUCACACCGAAGGAGGCCGAAGCAUUCAAGAAGGUAUUCGGGCGGGAUCCCAAGACACCAUUGUUCAAGGAUCUUAGUCUCGCGGAUGAAGCCGUUGUGGAUGGUGGCAAAUGCAUAUCUCUUGGAGCUAGGCCAAGUUCUCACCGUGAUUUGGAAGAUGGCAAGAACGGGAUAUAUCCCGGUUGUGAGUUUCAAUCCUUCUUGGAAUUGAAGAUGUGGCUCGACAACUACUCGGUUACACAUUAUCGUCCACAUAAAGUGGCCAACUCGGAUGUUAAUGUGCAUUACACGGUCAAAUGUGAAGUGCCAACAUGUCCAUGGAUUAUGCGUGCAAGGCCAUGGAAAUGA
This 432-nucleotide ribosomal RNA is filed under the name Triticum aestivum (bread wheat). Its description in RNAcentral is "partial small subunit ribosomal RNA". The record is from RNAcentral. Lineage: Eukaryota; Viridiplantae; Streptophyta; Magnoliopsida; Poales; Poaceae.